GAGGGAGGAUGGAAGAAGCUUUCGCCAUAAGGAAGAAAGGCGGAUUGAGGAAGGUGGUUAACAUCAGAGAGAUGGAGAUAAUUUCCGGUGUCGGCGAUGGAAUCACCAAAGCUGAUGAUCGAUUUAAAACGCCUACAUCGAGAUUCUGAUGAAGCAACAAUGAUGGUGGUGGAGUACAAGACAAGUAGAAAGCUUGAAAUAAGCUUCUCCAGUGAAGAAGCCAUGGGAAGAAUCGUCUUCGUCGUUUCUGUAACUCAAUUUUUAUCACCCUUUUUAAUUUGGACCACUAAAUAUGGUCAGUGGUGGAUUUCAUUUACUAUGCAACCAAGACUAUAGUAAACUGGGGAAAAUAUAAAUUUUUUUUGUUUAUGUUUUUUUGGUGUGUGAUCAAUAAUUGUUUGAAAAUGCACUAGUUUCAGAAACGUUCAUGCCACGUAUUUAAGACACGUAAGGUUAUGCAUGGGAUACACAUAGACGAAUCUCCAGUCUAUAAUCUAAGAUUCCUUUCGAAUAUCAGGCCAUUAAUUUUUUUGGAUACAAUUUUUAUUUUAAUUCUUCAAGUGCUUUUAAUAAACUAUUAAUUUGUAAUCCAAGAUUCCUUGCAAUUCUCUGCAACUCUUCUUUUUUUCUUGCAAAGGCCAGAGCCACUACUAAAUCAUCUUUAUCCACUGAAAUCAUAAGAGCCAAGGCAGGACCAGUCGAAAGCAGGAGUUGUAUAGCGACCAUUGAGUAAACCCUGAGCCAUCUUCUGGUACGUGGCUUCGGUUAAAUGAUAACCAUCCCAAUUCACAUACUCAGAAGGAUUUUGACAAUAGCUAACUCCGUUUUCUCCACACUCUUUACCAAUAGUGAAGUUGUAUUGACCUCCGACUCCACAACAAGCAGCCAAAGGUCUGUUCUUAAAACCUAAAAAGGGACCAUAAUUCAUAAAACAUGGGUUAACGAAUUAAACCGUACGUGAGGGUCAAAGUUAGAAGCUUUAGAAGGCGCAUACCAUAUUUGGCUGGUUCUUGAAAAAGUCCGUACAAAGAGUUGUAGUAGUCGGCGUAAAUGAUGUUGACAUGAGGGUAGAGUUUUUGGAGUUGUUUGAGUUCUAUCUUAAGUUGUUCGUUAUGGUGCUCUCCGAAUUUGUUAAGCCAUGGGAUACAACCUGUAAAAGGGUCGUGUUCUACUGUCGCGGUCUGAAAUAGAGUAAGAUAUGCCGUGGAACAUCCUAUUGGGAAGUUUCCGGGUACCAGGAAUGUUUUUCCUCCCAAAUCAAUCAAAUCCUGUAGUUUUAUUACUUAAUUAAUUUGUUAAAAUUUGAAACACACAUUUUUGAGGGGAGGGCAAUGUUAAGAUUUGUUACCACAAUAGCAGAAGAAAUAGCUUUGAUGAUUAGAGGAACAAGCUCUUUGAUUUCAUUGAUACUUUUUCCUUCAAAAAAUGGGUAAUUAUAGUCGUUUCCACCAAUCUCUCCCAUGAGUAUCAGCGAGUCUCCAAGCAUCUCUCUGCAAUCUGAACCCCCAAAGAAAAAAAGUUAGAAGGAGCUCAAUGCAUCGUAGAUAUGGAAGAGAACAAGGCUAAGUUUGUAACCACGAGUAGAUGAGGCACAAAGGUUAGGUAAAAUCUGCUUGAAGGUGUUAAGCUGAACACUUAGACUAAUAUUGGUGAAGUCAGAUUUAAUUCCUUGUUUUACAAGAAAGGCACGAUCCAAGGCGGUUGCUCCAUACACAGCAAAAUUUAUCCCUUGAUUGAAGCUCACGUUUUGGGAUCCGAAGUAAGGCGGAACGUACGGUAGUCCCAAGAAUUCGGCUGUGCAAAUAGUAAGACAACAUUACAAAAACACAGAAGCUAGUAAGGUUGAUAACUUGUGGUUCAAGCAAGAGAGACCUGAAGCAGAGGAGUGACCGAGUUGUCUAAAAAUAGAGAAGAAAAAUCAGGUACCGAUGAAAUCUAUAACGAGACGGCCGUCCGAGUAACGGCCGGAGGGAGGAUGGAAGAAGCUUUCGCCGUAAGGAAGAAAUGCGGCUUGAGGAAGAUUAUUGACGUUGGAGAGAUGAACAUAAUUUCCGGUGUCCGCAAUGGAAUCACCGAAGCUGAUGAUUGAUUUGUAACGCCGACACCGAGAUUCUGAUGAGGCAACGACUAUUGUGGUGUAGUAUAAGAUAAGUAGAAAGCUUACGAUGAGCGAAGCCAUGAGGAGAGUCGUCGUCAUCGUCUCUAUUACUCAAUUUUUAGAAUCUUUAACUAAUGCAGAGUUUGAGGCAUUAGUUAUUGGAUUUUAUGUCUUAUCCCAACGCCAAUGAGUAAAUUGAGGAAAAUGGUCAGGUUUAUGAAUGACUGUUGAGUGUUCAAUGAAGUAACUUCAGAAACUUCCACUUUAGAUUAGAUGGCUAAGUCGUACUUUAGUGCCACGUAUAAAAAGACACCUAAGUUUAUGCAUGGAUACAAAUGGGCUAGUCUCUCGUCUUAAUCACUUUUAAUUUAGUGUAAUCCAAAUAAGAAAUUUUAAAUAAUUUUCUUUUUUAUAUAUAGAAUCUUGAACUUUUUCAAAAUUUAAAUGAAUGUGUAAUCAAUGAACCUCACAUGCAUGUUCUCAUCUGUUAUAUCCAUCCAUUGUAAUAUAGUAUUUUAAGUUUUCCCAAAUAGUGUAUUAUGUUCUUAAUCUUUCAGUUCAAAGGAUGUUAUGAAAUUAUUUAAUCCUUAGCUGUCGUUUGUCCCUCUUAAUUCAUCCAAAACUUCUCCAACAUCUUCCACGGAACUGUUAUAAAUAGGAUUUUCUCAACAUGCAACUCGUGCUACGAACCGUAUAAAUAGGAUUUUCUAUUUGCGUGUGGUAUUUUUCAUUGAUAAGAUUGAUGCAUAUAUCCUCGAAAUUUUUGUCACUAGUCAAAUCCUGCCGUACAAGCAAUCUUUUUGUUAAUCAUCAUCACACAAUUUUCUUCCUCUUUUUUUUUUUUUACAACAAAUGAAUUCUAACUGCUCCUUUUAUGUAUCCACUGUACCAGAGCCAAGGCAGGACCAGUCGAAAGCAGGAGUUGCAUAGGGACCGUUGAGUAUACCCUCAGCCAUCUUCUGGUAGGCGGCUUCGGUUAAAUGAUAACCAUCCCAAUUCACAUACUCGGAAGGAUUUUGACAAUAGCUAACUCCUUCGUAUCCACACUCCUUACCAAUAGUGAAGUUGUAUUUACCUCCGACUCCACAGCAAGCAGCUAAAGGUUUGUUCUUAAACCCUAAUGAAAAAAACAAAACAAUAUCUCGGUUAAUGAAUUAAACCAUGAGGGUCAACGAAAGAGUUUUAAGUGGCACGGACCAUAUUUAGCUGGUUCUUGAUAAAACCGGUAUAAGGAGUUAUGGUAGUCAGCGUAAAUGAUGUUGACAUCAGGAUAGAGUUUUUGGAGUCGUUUGAGUUCUGUCUUAAGUUGUUCGUUGUCGUGCUCUCCAAGUUCAUUGAGCCGUGGGAUACAACCUGUCAAGGGGUCGUAGUCUUCUUCUGUCGCGUUCUGAUAUUGAGUAAGACACGCUGCGGAACAUCCUGCUGGGAAGCCUCCGGGUACCAAAAAUGUUUUGCCCCCUAAAGCGAUCAAAUCCUGUAGUUUGGUUGCUUAAUUUGUUAAAGUAUAAAACAGAUAUGUGAUUAUAUUUGUGUAAAGAUUUGUUACCACAAUUGCAGAAGAAAUAGCUUUGAUGAUCAAAUCCUGUAGUUUGGUUUCAUUGAUACUUUUGCCUUCGGAGGAUGGGUAAAAAAAGUCGUUACCUCCAAUCUCUCCCAUGAGUAUCAGCGAGUCUCCAAGCAUCUCUCUGCAAUCUAAACACAAAAAUAAAGAAACCCUGUAAGAACAAGGCUAAGUUUCUGUUUAUCAAAAUAAAAGGCUGAGUUUCUAACCACGAGAAGAUGAGGCACAAAGGUUAGGCAAAAUCUGCUUGAAGAUGUCAAGCUGAACACCUAAACUAACGUUGGUGAAAUCAGAUUCAAUUCCUUUUGCCACAAAAUACGCUCGGUCCAAUGCGGUUGCUCCAUACACCGCGAAAUUGAUCCCUUGUUCAAAGCUAACGUUUUGGGAUCCAAAGUAAGGUGGAACAUACGGUAGUCCCAAGAAUUCAGCUGUUCAAAUAGUAAGACAAUAUUAGAAAAACUCAGGUGAAGUAGGGUUUCUAUCUUGCUUUCCACGCAAGAUAGACCUAAAGCAGAUAGAUGAUUACAAGUGGUUUUGCCUAAACAGAGGAAAUAUUAGGUACCGAUGAAGUCGAUGAUGAGACGGCCAUCAGAGGCACGACCAGAGGGAGGAUGGAAGAAGCUUUCACCAUAAGGAAAAAAGGCGGUUUGAGGAAGAUGAUUGACGUCGGAGAGAUGGAGAAUAUUUCCGGUGUCUGCGAUGGAAUCACCAAAGCUGAUGAUAGAUGUAAAGCGCCGACAUCGAGAUUCUGAUGAAGCAACAAUGAUGGUGGUAGAGUAUAAGACAAGUAGAAAGCUUGAGAUAAGCUUCUUCAGUGAAGAAGCCAUGGGAAGAGCUAGUCGUGGUCUUCGUUCGUCUUUGUCACUCAAUUUUUAAAGUCUUUUUGGAUCAUUGAAUAAUGCAAGAGAUGUGGCAAUUAUUGGAUUUCAUUUAUUAUGCCAGUAAGAAAGAGAGAAAUGAGAAAAAGAAGUUAACGGCAGAAACGUCAGACAAGUUGGAGGCUCCAUCACGAAAUUGGAUUCUUCGAUGAUAGAAUUCGUGAAACUAGUAAUAACGAAAUAUUCCUUCGUUGCUUUUUCUUUUUUCUAUUUGGCCUUCCUUACUUAUUAUAAUCAUAUAAAUGGAUUCUUUAACUAAUCCAUUAUAAAAUGAGUGAAAAAGAAAGAGAACAAUUAUGAAACGGUUAUGGAGAUAUGUGACGCACGCGAUAGUAUGAGGGAAGCCAUAGGAGAAUUGUCGUCUCUAUUACUCAAUUUUUAGAAUCUUUAACUAAUGCAGAGUUUGAGGCAUUAGUUAUUGGAUUUUAUGUAUUAUCCCAACGCCUAUUAGUAAAUUGAGGAAAAUGGUCAGGUUUAUUAAUGACUAUUGAGUGUUCAAUGAAGUAACUUCAGAAACUUCCACUUUAGAUUAGAUGGCUAAGUCGUACUUUAGUGCCACGUAUAAAAAGACACCUAAGUUUAUGCAUGGAUACAAAUGGGCUAGUCUCUCGUCUUAAUCACUUUUAAUUUAGUGUAAUCCAAAUAAGAAAUUUUAAAUAAUUUUCUUUUUUAUAUAAUAGGUCUCUGGUUGUGACCCCGGAGGAACCCUGGCUCUAAAUAGCAAGACUUUAGAAUUUUGAACCUUUUCAAAAUUAAAUGACCAAAAUGUGUAAUCAAUGAACCUCACUUGUUCUCAUCUGUUAUAUCCAUCCAUUGUAAGUUGUCCCAAAUAGUAUAUUAUGUUCUUAAUCUUUCAGUUCAAUGGAUGUUAUGAAAUUAUUUAAAUCCUUAGCUGUCGUUUGUCCCACUCAACUCAUCCAAAACUUCUCCAACAUCUUCCAGGGAACUGUUUAUAAACUUAGAAUGGUCUUAAAAUUAUACGUACUUCCAGAUUUUCUCAACAUUGUAACUAGAGUGCAACUAGUGCUACGAACCGUAUAUAUAGGAUUUUCUAUUUGCGUGUGGUAUUUUUCAGUGAUAAGAUAUAUGCAUAUAGCCAUAUAUCCUCGGAAGUUUUGUCAUUAGUCAAGUCUUGCCGUACAAGCAAUGUUUUUGUUAAUCAUCAUCAUCAUCAUCAUCAUCACAUAAUUUUCUUCCUCUUUGAUUUUUUACAACGAAUGAAUUCUUACUGCUGAAAGAAUACCCUUUAUGUAUCCACUGUACCAGAGCCAAGGCAGGACCAGUCGAAAGCAGGAGUUGCAUAGGGACCGUUGAGUAUACCCUCAGUCAUCUUCUGGUAGGCGGCUUCGGUUAAAUGAUAACCAUCCCAGUUCACAUACUCAGAAGGAUUUUGACAAUAGUUAACUCCUUCGUAUCCACACUCCUUACCAAUAGUGAAGUUGUAUUUACCUCCGACUCCACAGCAAGCAGCUAAAGGUUUGUUCUUAAACCCUAUUGAAAAAGACAAACAAAAUAUCUGUUAAUGAAUUAAUCCGUGAGGGUCAACGACAGAGUUUGAAAUUUCACGGACCGUAUUUAGCUGGUUCUUGAUAAAACCGGUAUAAGGAGUUGUGGUAGUCAGCGUAAAUGAUGUUGACAUGAGGAUAGAAUUUUUGGAGUCGCUUGAGUUCUGUCUUUAGCUGUUCGUUGUGGUGCUCGCCAAAUUCGUUGAGCAAUGGGUAACAACCUGUUAAAGGGUCCUGGUCUUUUUCUGCCACGGUCUGAAAUAGAGUAAGAUACGCCGCAGAACAUCCUGUUGGGAAGCCUCCGGGUACCAAAAAUGUUUUGCCCCCUAAAUCAAUCAAAUCCUGUAGUUUUGUGUUAAUUUUUUAAAAUAUAAAACACAAAAUAUAAUGUGAUUAUUAUUGUGACUGGAGGGCAAUGUUAAGAUUUGUUACCACAAUAGCAGAAGAAAUAGCUUUGACGAUUAGAGGAACAAGCUCUUUGAUUUCAUUGAUACUUUUUCCUUCAAAAAAUGGGUAAUUAUAGUCGUUUCCUCCAAUCUCUCCCAUGAGUAUCAGCGAGUCUCCAAGCAUCUCUUUGCAAUCUAGACAAGAAACGAAAUAAACCCUGUUAGAACCAAGCUAGCUAGACUCAUCAUCAUAGUCCAUAGACAUAGAAAAGAACAAGGGCACGUUUCUGUUAAAAAACAAAACAAGACAAGGCUAAGUUUCUAACCACGAGUAGACGAGGCGCAUAAGUUAGGCAAAAUCUGCUUGAAGGUGUCAAGCUGAACACUUAAACUAACAUUGGUGAAAUCAGAUUCAAUUCCUUUUCCCAAAAGAAACGCUCGGUCCAAUGCGGUUGCUCCAUACACCGCAAAAUUGAUCCCUUGUUCGAAGCUAACGUUUUGGGAUCCAAAGUAAGGCGGUACGUAUGGUAGUCCCAAGAAUUCGGCUGUUCAAAUAGUAAGACAACAUAAGAAAAAAAGAUCAGGAAGAAGUAUAACUUGCUGUUCACGUAAGAAAGACUUAGAGCAAAUGAUAACAGGUGGUUUUGCCUAUAGAGAUGAAAAAAUAGCUACCAAUGAAGUCGAUGAUGAGACGGCCAUUAGAGGCACGACCGGAGGGAGGAUGGAAGAAGCUUUCGCCAUAAGGAAGAAAGGCGGAUUGAGGAAGGUGAUUGACAUCAGAGAGAUGGAGAUAAUUUCCGGUGUCUGCGAUGGAAUCACCAAAGCUGAUGAUCGAUUUAAAACGCCUACAUCGAGAUUCUGAUGAAGCAACAAUGAUGGUGGUGGAGUAUAAGACAAGUAGAAAGCUUGAGAUAAGC
RNAcentral lists this long non-coding RNA (7345 nucleotides) under Arabidopsis thaliana (thale cress). RNAcentral's name for it is "long non-coding RNA (ATHA_LNC000489)". The record is from RNAcentral. Lineage: Eukaryota; Viridiplantae; Streptophyta; Magnoliopsida; Brassicales; Brassicaceae.